AAUCUGUGGAUCGAGGAUUCGUCCAAGUGGAGCAGAGGACAGUGGCGGACGGGUGAGUAACGCGUGAGGAACCUGCCUUUCAGAGGGGGACAACAGUUGGAAACGACUGCUAAUACCGCAUGAUACAUUUGGGUGGCAUCAUCUGAAUGUCAAAGAUUUAUCGCUGAAAGAUGGCCUCGCGUCUGAUUAGCUAGUUGGUGAGGUAACGGCCCACCAAGGCGACGAUCAGUAGCCGGACUGAGAGGUUGACCGGCCACAUUGGGACUGAGAUACGGCCCAGACUCCUACGGGAGGCAGCAGUGGGGAAUAUUGGGCAAUGGGCGCAAGCCUGACCCAGCAACGCCGCGUGAAGGAAGAAGGCUUUCGGGUUGUAAACUUCUUUUAAGAGGGAAGAGCAGAAGACUGUACCUCUAGAAUAAGCCACGGCUAACUACGUGCCAGCAGCCGCGGUAAUACGUAGGUGGCAAGCGUUGUCCGGAUUUACUGGGUGUAAAGGGCGUGCAGCCGGGAAUGCAAGUCAGAUGUGAAAUCCAUGGGCUUAACCCAUGAACUGCAUUUGAAACUGUAUUUCUUGAGUACUGGAGAGGCAAUCGGAAUUCCUAGUGUAGCGGUGAAAUGCGUAGAUAUUAGGAGGAACACCAGUGGCGAAGGCGGAUUGCU
Molecule: ribosomal RNA, 660 nt
Filed under: uncultured Lachnospiraceae bacterium
Lineage: Bacteria; Bacillati; Bacillota; Clostridia; Lachnospirales; Lachnospiraceae
Description: bacterial SSU rRNA
Rfam family: Bacterial small subunit ribosomal RNA
Source: RNAcentral